GGGCGGGACCUGGGGCGGAGAGCGGUUCGCGCGCUUCGGGCCUAGUCCGGACUCGCCGCCGCCGCCGCCAUAUUCCCGUGGCAUCUUCCUUACUUUGCCCAUCCUCCGGACUCGCGAUCUUCCUUCCGGAGCCAUGUCAGAAGGAGUGGACUUGAUUGAUAUAUAUGCUGACGAGGAGUUCAACCAGGACCCAGAGUUCAACAAUACAGAUCAGAUUGACCUGUAUGAUGAUGUGCUGACAGCCACCUCACAGCCCUCAGAUGACAGAAGCAGCAGCACUGAACCACCACCUCCUGUUCGCCAGGAGCCAUCUCCCAAGCCCAACAACAAGACCCCUGCAAUUCUGUAUACCUACAGUGGCCUGCGUAAUAGACGAGCUGCCGUCUAUGUGGGCAGCUUCUCCUGGCAGGGUCAUCUGAGGGACGAGAUUUCAGAGUGAACACCUUGAACUCUUGGUGGUCAUUAGAUGGUCCUGUGAUAAUGGUGGGUGAUGGGGAUUAAAGACCUUGAUAACUCUAGUAUACUUGGGGUAGGUGGUGACUGU
This 544-nucleotide small RNA is filed under the name Pan troglodytes (chimpanzee). RNAcentral describes it as "processed transcript". The record is from RNAcentral. Lineage: Eukaryota; Metazoa; Chordata; Mammalia; Primates; Hominidae.